Pelobates cultripes (western spadefoot toad) is the source of this 349-nucleotide non-coding RNA. The record is from the annotation of a GenBank genome assembly. NCBI's taxonomy places the organism in Eukaryota, Metazoa, Chordata, Amphibia, Anura, Pelobatidae.
GUAAAACCUUGGGGGUGAAAGACACCCGUCCGAUGAGGUCACCAUGAGCGUUGUGAGGUCAUGAGUGGAGAGGAGAGGGCGGCUUUAGCUAAGUCUGUUAAAUAUAUCUGUUCCCCGUCAUGUCUCUCAAGGUUAGGGCAGUAUGGUGUGCCCCAUGGCCCCUUUGUGUAUGGACGGGGAAUGGGUUCGGGUGGUUGCGGUAUUUCACCGUGAAUUCCCCUUCUGGAACUGGGCCCGCUCCCUUGUUGGCUCCUGACUGUGGCCACCGACUUUCACCAAUGUGUGUGGUGCUCUGUGAGUCAUGAGUUGUCAUGCAGUCAUAGAAACGGCUAUGUGUGGACAUAUCUAG